This 350-nucleotide ribosomal RNA is filed under the name Aulacoscelis melanocera. RNAcentral's name for it is "partial 12S ribosomal RNA". The record is from RNAcentral. Lineage: Eukaryota; Metazoa; Arthropoda; Insecta; Coleoptera; Chrysomelidae.
AUAAAUGUAAAUUUCUCUCUUACAUUAGUAUUAGAUAUGUUCUUGAAAAUUAAAGGUUUUGACGGUAUUUUAGUCUAUUUAGAGGAACCUGUUCUAUAAUCGAUAAUCCACGAUUUAUUAAACUUUUUUUUUAACUUACAUAUCGUCGUAAUUUGAAUAUUUUAAAAGAAUUAUAAUAUUCAAGAUUUAAUUAAUAAAAAAAAUCAGAUCAAGGUGUAGUUUAUGAAAAAGAAGAAAUGGGUUACAUUAUUAAUAUAUCAUAGGGAUAAUUAUUUGAAAUAAUAAUUUAAAUAUGGAUUUAAAAGUAAUUUUAAUUAAUUUAUUAAUUUGAUUUAAGCUCUGAAAUAUGU